RNAcentral lists this ribosomal RNA (301 nucleotides) under uncultured bacterium. RNAcentral describes it as "partial 16S ribosomal RNA". It matches the Rfam family "Bacterial small subunit ribosomal RNA", at positions 509 to 809 of the family's 1533-position model. The record is from RNAcentral.
CAGCAGCCGCGGGAAUACGUAGGGUGCGAGCGUUAAUCGGAUUUACUGGGCGUAAAGCGUGCGUAGGCGGCUUCUUAAGUCGGAUGUGAAAUCCCUGAGCUUAACUUAGGAAUUGCAUUCGAUACUGGGAAGCUAGAGUAUGGGAGAGGAUGGUAGAAUUCCAGGUGUAGCGGUGAAAUGCGUAGAGAUCUGGAGGAAUACCGAUGGCGAAGGCAGCCAUCUGGCCUAAUACUGACGCUGAGGUACGAAAGCAUGGGGAGCAAACAGGAUUAGAUACCCGAGUAGUCCCUGUCUCUUAUAU